RNAcentral lists this ribosomal RNA (406 nucleotides) under uncultured bacterium. RNAcentral's name for it is "partial 16S ribosomal RNA". It matches the Rfam family "Bacterial small subunit ribosomal RNA", at positions 30 to 526 of the family's 1533-position model. The record is from RNAcentral.
AUUGAACGCUGGCGGCAGGCCUAACACAUGCAAGUCGAACGAGUGGCGGACGGGUGAGUUAUGUCUGGGAUACUGCCUGCUGGAGGGGGAUAACUACUGGAAACUGUAGCUAAUACCGCAUACCAUCAGAUGUGCCCAGAUGGGAUUUGCUUGUUGGUGGGGUAACGGCUCACCACGGCGACGAUCCCUAGCUGGUCUGAGAGGAUGACCAGCAACACUGGAACGGAGACGCGGUCCAGACUCCUACGGGAGGCAGCAGUGGGGAAUAUUGCACAAUGGGCGCAAGCCUGAUGCAGCCAUGGCGCGUGUAUGAAGAGGGGCUUCGGGUUGUAAAGUACUUUCAGCGGGGAGGCGUUACCCACAGAAGAAGCACCGGCUAACUCCGUGCCAGCAGCCGCGGUAAUUC